This 483-nucleotide ribosomal RNA is filed under the name uncultured bacterium. RNAcentral describes it as "partial 16S ribosomal RNA". It matches the Rfam family "Bacterial small subunit ribosomal RNA", at positions 28 to 507 of the family's 1533-position model. The record is from RNAcentral.
GACGAACGCUGGCGGCGUGCUUAACACAUGCAAGUCGAACGCUGAAGCUCAGCUUUUGUUGGGUGGAUGAGUGGCGAACGGGUGAGUAACACGUGAGUAACCUGCCCCCUUCUUUGGGAUAACGCCCGGAAACGGGUGCUAAUACUGGAUAUUCACUGGUCUUCGCAUGGGGGUUGGUGGAAAGGGUUUUUCUGGUGGGGGAUGGGCUCGCGGCCUAUCAGCUUGUUGGUGGGGUGAUGGCCUACCAAGGCUUUGACGGGUAGCCGGCCUGAGAGGGUGACCGGUCACAUUGGGACUGAGAUACGGCCCAGACCCCUACGGGAGGCAGCAGUGGGGAAUAUUGCACAAUGGGCGCAAGCCUGAUGCAGCGACGCCGCGUGAGGGAUGGAGGCCUUCGGGUUGUGAACCUCUUUCGCUCAUGGUCAAGCCGCAACAAUGGUUGUGGUGAGGGUAGUGGGUAAAGAAGCGCCGGCUAACUACGUG